This 716-nucleotide ribosomal RNA is filed under the name uncultured bacterium. RNAcentral describes it as "bacterial SSU rRNA". It matches the Rfam family "Bacterial small subunit ribosomal RNA", at positions 771 to 1501 of the family's 1533-position model. The record is from RNAcentral.
AACAGGAUUAGAUACCCUGGUAGUCCACGCCGUAAACGAUGCUAACUCGUUUUUGGGUUUUCGGAUUCAGAGACUAAGCGAAAGUGAUAAGUUAGCCACCUGGGGAGUACGUUCGCAAGAAUGAAACUCAAAGGAAUUGACGGGGGCCCGCACAAGCGGUGGAUUAUGUGGUUUAAUUCGAUGAUACGCGAGGAACCUUACCAAGGCUUAAAUGGGAAUUGAUGGGUUUAGAAAUAGACCGUCCUUCGGGCAAUUUUCAAGGUGCUGCAUGGUUGUCGUCAGCUCGUGCCGUGAGGUGUUAGGUUAAGUCCUGCAACGAGCGCAACCCCUGUUACUAGUUGCUACCAUUAAGUUGAGGACUCUAGUAAGACUGCCUACGCAAGUAGAGAGGAAGGUGGGGAUGACGUCAAAUCAUCACGGCCCUUACGCCUUGGGCCACACACGUAAUACAAUGGCCGGUACAGAGGGCAGCUACCUAGCGAUAGGAUGCGAAUCUCGAAAGCCGGUCUCAGUUCGGAUUGGAGUCUGCAACUCGACUCUAUGAAGCUGGAAUCGCUAGUAAUCGCGCAUCAGCCAUGGCGCGGUGAAUACGUUCCCGGGCCUUGUACACACCGCCCGUCAAGCCAUGGAAGUCUGGGGUACCUGAAGUCGGUGACCGUAAAAGGAGCUGCCUAGGGUAAAACAGGUAACUAGGGCUAAGUCGUAACAAGGUAACC